GAUGAAGAACGCAGCGAAAUGCGAUAAGUAAUGUGAAUUGCAGAAUUCAGUGAAUCAUCGAAUCUUUGAACGCACAUUGCGCCCGGUAGUAUUCUGCCGGGCAUGCCUGUUCGAGCGUCAUUUCAACCAUCAAGCCCCAGCGCUUGUGUUGGGGGCCUGCGGCUGCCGCAGCCCCCUAAAAGCAGUGGCGGGCUCGCUAUCACACCGAGUGCAGUAGAUUACUCUUCGCUCAGGGCGUGCAGCGGGUUCCGGCCGUGAAACCCCCUACUUUUAAAGGUUGACCUCGGAUCAGGUAGGAAUACCCGCUGAACUUAAGCAUAUCAAUAAGCGGAGGA
RNAcentral lists this unclassified non-coding RNA (335 nucleotides) under soil metagenome. RNAcentral's name for it is "partial contains 5.8S ribosomal RNA, internal transcribed spacer 2, and large subunit ribosomal RNA". The stretch from base 1 to 120 matches the Rfam family "5.8S ribosomal RNA", at positions 35 to 154 of the family's 154-position model. The record is from RNAcentral.